Non-coding RNA from Physcomitrium patens, 1663 nucleotides. The record is from RefSeq and is a predicted model, not a curated record. Lineage: Eukaryota; Viridiplantae; Streptophyta; Bryopsida; Funariales; Funariaceae.
UUUGAAAUUGCAGGGUGUUCUCGAAACCUCGUGCCGGUCAUAGAACCACAUCGGAACCGGCACCGGCACCAGCGCCAAUCGUGGCGCAAGCCGAUCGGAGCGCGGUAGAGGUUUCAUCUUCCCGCUGGUCUGCAAAGAUCUGCUCCAUUUCGUCGAUAAUCAUCGUCAUUAGGAUUCUUACUCUUUUCGUUUUGAUUUUUUUCUUACUGUUCGGUUAUUUGAGUAUCUGGUCCGGUGGCCACUUGCACAAUCACAUCAACCGUACUCGGCGUUUUGUUCAGUGUGACAUCGGUUGCUAUCAAGCGCAGGGUGAUAUCUGUUAUGCAGUUUUGGCGAUUGGUGUUUGGCAACAGAGAUGUCAGUGCUUUAGAGGAUAUCACAGUUGUGAAAUUCUGCAAUUAGUGAACUCCUCGAUUCAAUCCAUUCGGAUUUCAUUGUGGCAAGUUGCGAUUUAUGAGCGAGAUGCUGGGUAAGGUUCGAGACUGUAUCCGUUCGUGAUUUGCGUGUCUGCAGCGUUGUUGUCACUGGCGCUACGGACCCUUGGUUUUGGUUGUCCCUGUAGUUAGGCUGCCGAUACUAUCUGAUAGGGAUUGUGUGAGCAGAUUGAGAAUGACAAUCAGUGGCCGUGGCAUUGGAAGAUUUCUGUUGAUGCGGAUUACAUGGCUUCAUCAAUCGCUCUAAUGUACUCGGAUCCUCCUCUCUUCCUCACUGGUCAGGUUACUACUCAAUUAACUUCAUUUCCAUAUUUGGAAUGUGUUUACACUUUGGCCACUGCUCCCUUCUUACAAGUGAGAGGAUGUAAUUGUAACAACAUGCUACACACAUGGGAUCAUUGGCCACAGUGUAUUGAUCAUUGAGUUAUUGAUGAUGUCAUAUCUUUCUUUAUUUUCUGAUGUUUGGAAUAAUAUGUUUCAUAUUGUUAAUAUAUAUAUAUAUAUAUAUAUAUAUAUAUAUAUUUGGACAUAAUAUAGGGCAUCACAUAUGAAAGAAUAACAUACAUUUUUACAUUGUAAAAGGAAAAAAAUGUAAAAAAAAAUUGAAAAAAAAAUAAAACAACAUAAGUUAUUUAAAUGAUCUCAAUGCUAAAGCACUUUGUUGCAAAUCAUAUUGUGCAUUAAACUAACAUCCCUUUCUGUACUGAAUUUCAAUAAAACUUUUAUAUUUUUGGAGGUCGUUGCAUGAAAAAAUAAAAUAUUUAAGUAGUUGUGGAAAAAGAUGUUUAUGCUAAAUUUAGCAAAACAUACUUCAUUAUUUUUCCUUGGGAUUAGUUUACUAUUAUUACAUAAGCCAUAUGCAAGGGGAACUAUUUUCUGCUUAAAACCUAAAAACGAUUUCACUAUUUAGUAAUUGUGGUAGUUCUAGAAAUAAAUGUAAUAUGACAAUGUUUUUUUCUCAUCAAUACCUCAACUUCAAUGUCUAUAUCAGUGAAACAUUUGAUCAUUAGUUGGGUUUUAUUACAAAGACUACUUGCUAAAUCAAGAUUAUAGAAAGGCAUCAUAAUUGUGCCAAUAUUUAGCAUGAGCUUAUGAGGUGACCACCCACUUAUAUGCAACAUUAUAUAUUCCGAGGGGACAUGGAUAUUUUUAUGGCUGAUUAACUUAAUUUACAAUGCAACCAAUACACAAAAACAUGUUUUUUUAUUAUAAAAGAUAACUUUGCUACA